This is an RNA transcript of Helicoverpa armigera (cotton bollworm), 1958 nucleotides long. RefSeq lists it as uncharacterized. The transcript is spliced from 3 exons. NCBI's taxonomy places the organism in Eukaryota, Metazoa, Arthropoda, Insecta, Lepidoptera, Noctuidae. The record is from RefSeq and is a predicted model, not a curated record.
AACAAAGUCGCUUUUUCUGUCAUGUGUCAUGUUGUAUGUCCCUAUGAACGCUCAAAUCUUUAAAACUACGCAACGGAUUUUGAUGCGGUUUUUUUUAAUAGAUAGAGUAACUCAUGAGAAGGUUUUUAUGUAUAAUAACAUCUAUUAAAUAAUGGAGAAAUACUGUUACCCGUGCGAAGCCGGGGCGGGUCGCUAGUUGGGAAUAAUUCGAAUCCGGUUAGACUGGAAGCCGACCCCAACAUAGUUGGGAAAAGGCUCGGAGGAUGAUGAUAUUGCCAUAUUGCAAUCGUAAAUCGUUUGCAGACAAUAUGAUUCAUUAUUGAAUCACAGAAAAGGAUAAACACGUUUAUUUAAAAGAAAAAAUAGUGGAAUGCCACAUACGCUUCAAUCGUAAUUGAGUCGUGAUUGGAUCUCAGUCGGAUGUGAAUCGCAUGUCGCUAAAGUAAAAUUAGCAGGGGCAGGAUUCUGCGCAAUUUUUUCUUUGAAAUAAACGUUUUUAUCCUUUUCUGUCAUUCAAUAAUGAAUCAUUUUGUCUGCAAAUGAUUUACGAUUGCAAUAUGGCAAUAUAGACUAAGAAUAUUAUGGUAAUAUAGACCAAAAUGGCAGACCAAUCGCAAACCAAUCGAAUGUCGUUGGAAUACGAUUGGUCUUAUAUUAGUAACAGAAUGCCCGAUAUGGUUAAAAAAGCUGUUGCGAUGCAAUUUCUAUUCAAUUUUGACAUUAUUAACUUAACAGAAUCGGGCCCCAGAAUCGUGCUCCUGAAAGCUCCUAGUCAUCCGGAUAAACUUGUCAUCACGGGAGAUACCAACUCAGUCAAUUAUAAGGUUGGGCGUUUAGAGAAACACAGUUCCUUACGAGUAACCAUUUAUUACUGAAUCCCAUAUGAAAUGAUACAUGAUUUAAUAAGAUAGACAUACAUAGAUAGACACGCGCACACAUACAUAGGUAAUAGGUAUUCAUUCAUACAUACACUAUACAAUAUCAGCAUACAAACUUCAUAUUUUUGUAAUUUAUUUUUCAGGUGUGACACAACAUCAAUUUCCACACCCAGAAAAGAAUCCUGAGUUAUUCAAAGCCUGGGUUAAUAUAGUUGGUGGAAAACUGGAGACUGCAGAUGAUAUCAAAUUUUACAGAAAGCGAGUCAUCUGUGACAUACAUUUUGCAGACAAGUUUAAGAAUCGCAACAACCGUUUAAAUAACAUAGCUGUUCCUACUCUCCAUCUUCAGGGUAAGAUUUAGAUCUUUAUUCUUGAACUAGAUCGCAAUGCCACCUACUGAGUUAAAAUUGCCAUUAAGAAAACAAAAUUCUUAAUUAUUCACAAUUAAACUGAACUGAAAUCUUUUAGGCCACCUGUUUGCAGUAUAUUAAUAUUUAAUUGGAUAUAAAAUGCAGUUCAUUCACCCCUUAACCAACUCGGUGAAGGUUGUUGUUUAGUGGGAUCUUAGACUUGUUUUUACUAUUUCCAGGUGCUCCAUCACAAGAUGCUCAUAUGCCUCCUGCAACUCCACAUAUACCAACUGAACUUCCUAUGCCUGAACAUAAUAUAUGGGAUCUGCCUUCUACAUCAAAGCAAAUAAUCACUGCUGCACCUCCCAAUGCGUGUGUUAUAGCAGCAGAACAUAAUUAUUGCAGUAAACAUGGUAUACAACAAAGACGGAAACUUAAAGGAGACAAAAAAAAACUGAAAUCAACUUCAUCGCUGGAGAAUGAAUUAAAGAUUUCAAGAUUCCAAAUGAAGAAUUUAAAAACCGAAAUUAUUCGGUUACGUAAACGGAGUAGUAGUUUGAAAGAAAGAUUAGCCAGCGUUGAUAAAAUUAGCAAUACAAAUUGUUUAAAAAAUAACGAGAAAUAUGACAACUGCAGCAAAAAUAUUCACAAACAUGCAGUACACCCAAACUCACAAGAGAGCUCGUGGGCGGAGGUUUACUUUAAAGGAAAAAGUUUUGUCUCUCUCCAU